RNAcentral lists this ribosomal RNA (305 nucleotides) under uncultured bacterium. Its description in RNAcentral is "bacterial SSU rRNA". It matches the Rfam family "Bacterial small subunit ribosomal RNA", at positions 335 to 654 of the family's 1533-position model. The record is from RNAcentral.
ACCCUACGGGGCGCAGCAGUGGGGGGAUAUUGGACAAUGGGGGGAACCCUGAUCCAGCGACGCCGCGUGAGUGAAGAAGUAUUUCGGUAUGUAAAGCUCUGUCAGCAGGGAAGAAAGCAAUGACGGUACCUGACCAAGAAGCCCCGGCUAACUACGUGCCAGCAGCCGCGGUAAUACGUAGGGGGCAAGCGUUAUCCGGAAUUACUGGGUGUAAAGGGAGUGUAGACGGCUGUGCAAGUCUGGAGUGAAAGGCGGGGGCGCAAACCAAGGAAUGCUAUGGAAAAUGUAUGGCUGGAGUGGAGGAG